Hibiscus syriacus is the source of this 107-nucleotide small nucleolar RNA. The record is from RefSeq and is a predicted model, not a curated record. NCBI's taxonomy places the organism in Eukaryota, Viridiplantae, Streptophyta, Magnoliopsida, Malvales, Malvaceae.
AAUCCAUGCAUAAGACACUUCCGCGACAAUUCUUUAAAUCUUUCCCAUGCUUCAUACAAGCUUUCAUCUUCCAUUUCCUUGAAUGAGGUUAAAUUGUUUCGAAGCUU